GAUGAACGCUGGCUACAGGCUUAACACAUGCAAGUCGAGGGGAAGCGACGGGGAAGCUUGCUUCCCCGGGCGUCGACCGGCGCACGGGUGAGUAACGCGUAUCCAACCUGCCUCUGACUGAGGGAUAACCCGUCGAAAGUCGGCCUAAUACCUCAUGGCAUCGUCUGCGGGCAUCCAACGACGAUUAAAGAUUUCAUCGGUCAGAGAUGGGGAUGCGUCUGAUUAGCUUGUUGGCGGGGUAACGGCCCACCAAGGCGACGAUCAGUAGGGGUUCUGAGAGGAAGGUCCCCCACAUUGGAACUGAGACACGGUCCAAACUCCUACGGGAGGCAGCAGUGAGGAAUAUUGGUCAAUGGGCGAGAGCCUGAACCAGCCAAGUAGCGUGCAGGAUGACGGCCCUAUGGGUUGUAAACUGCUUUUAUGCGGGGAUAAAGUGAGGGACGUGUCCUUCAUUGCAGGUACCGCAUGAAUAAGGACCGGCUAAUUCCGUG
RNAcentral lists this ribosomal RNA (491 nucleotides) under uncultured bacterium. RNAcentral describes it as "partial 16S ribosomal RNA". It matches the Rfam family "Bacterial small subunit ribosomal RNA", at positions 28 to 507 of the family's 1533-position model. The record is from RNAcentral.